This is a small nucleolar RNA of Sapajus apella (tufted capuchin), 130 nucleotides long. RefSeq annotates it as small nucleolar RNA SNORA69. The record is from RefSeq and is a predicted model, not a curated record. NCBI's taxonomy places the organism in Eukaryota, Metazoa, Chordata, Mammalia, Primates, Cebidae. The transcript has a single exon.
AAAGCAGGUUGCAAUUACAGUGCUUCAUUUUGUGGAAGUACUGCCAUUAUCCUGCUGAAAGAAAAGCCGUGUUAAUCAUUUUUGAUUUUGCCUUUGAGGGUAAAAUCAUGAGAGAUUGACAUGGACAAUU